RNAcentral lists this ribosomal RNA (343 nucleotides) under uncultured eukaryote. RNAcentral's name for it is "SSU rRNA". It matches the Rfam family "Eukaryotic small subunit ribosomal RNA", at positions 592 to 935 of the family's 1831-position model. The record is from RNAcentral.
CAAUAGCGUAUAUUAAAGUUGUUGCAGUUAAAAGCUCGUAGUCGGAUUUCGGGUCGGGCCGAGCGGUCUGCCGAUGGGUAUGCACUGUUUGGCGCGGCCUUCUUUCCGGAGACCGCGGCUACUCUUAACUGAGCGGGCGUGGGAGACGGAUACGUUUACUUUGAAAAAUUCAGAGUGUUUCUAGCAGGCAGCUCGCUCUUGCAUAGGUUAGCAUGGGAUAAUUUAAUAUGGACUCUGGUGCUAUUUUGUUGGUUUCGAAACACCGGAGUAAGUGAUUAAAGGGGCAGUCAGGGGCACUCGUAUUCCGAUCGAGAGAGGUGAAAUUCUCAGACCAAAUGGAAUG